This 482-nucleotide ribosomal RNA is filed under the name uncultured bacterium. RNAcentral's name for it is "partial 16S ribosomal RNA". It matches the Rfam family "Bacterial small subunit ribosomal RNA", at positions 28 to 507 of the family's 1533-position model. The record is from RNAcentral.
GACGAACGCUGGCGGCGUGCUUAACACAUGCAAGUCGAACGAUGAAGAAGAGACACGCGAACUUCGGUUCAAAUUUCACUUCGGAUUAGUGGCAGACGGGUGAGUAACGCGUGAGCAACCUACCUCUUACAAAGGGAUAGCCUCGGGAAACCGUGAUUAAUACCAUCUGACACAUUCAUAAGGCAUCUUAAGAAUGUUAAAGCUACGGCGGUAAGAGAUGGGCUCGCGUCCCAUUAGCUAGUUGGUGAGGUAACGGCCCACCAAGGCGACGAUGGGUAACCGGCCUGAGAGGGUGAACGGUCACAUUGGAACUGAGACACGGUCCAAACUCCUACGGGAGGCAGCAGUGGGGAAUAUUGCACAAUGGAGGGAACUCUGAUGCAGCGACGCCGCGUGAGCGAUGAAGGAAUUCGUUUCGUAAAGCUCUGUUAUAUGGGAAGAAAAGGACUGUACCAUAGGAGAAAGCCCCGGCUAAAUACGUG